This is a long non-coding RNA of Schistocerca gregaria, 594 nucleotides long. RefSeq lists it as uncharacterized. The record is from RefSeq and is a predicted model, not a curated record. The transcript is spliced from 3 exons. NCBI's taxonomy places the organism in Eukaryota, Metazoa, Arthropoda, Insecta, Orthoptera, Acrididae.
GGGGCGGCGCAGAACCUGUAACAAUGUCGUCCAUACCUUCCUGCCGCCGAGGCGUUGCAAUUCGUAGUCUGAAGGCGCCAUGAUUGUGAUUACAACACAGCUUUCUGAAGAGCACAUUAUUUCCACGAUGCCUUAGUGCGAAAUUUGCAAGAUGGGUUAUCACGACAAACAUAUUCAAUUUUCUAGCUCUUUGCUUCAGCCAAGAGUCUGAAUUUCCUACACCAGUAGACAGGACGUGGCAAAGAAAGGUUACAGGAGUGGUUUCGUCAGUGCUGCCGAUGCGAAAUUUUUCUGCAAUCGAUACACACUGUUGAAAGCGACAUACAACUGCAGUAACUCUUUGGCAGAAUAGUGACCAGUGUAAAAUCAGAUAUAAUGGAAAACUUAUAGACUUACUAUAGACUUUAGCAGUUCACCAGUAUUACGUUGUUUCCAUCUUUCUAGCUACUUAGUUACUGCAUUAUCUCCUGCAAUUAAAAACAGAAUAUUUGACAUUAUCUGUCUAUGUAAUUGCAGCCUAAAUGAAGCUUCGAAGUAGCUUAAUGUAAAAAUAUCAAAGUUACUUAUAACCUGCAUUCGUUUAUUCUCUUAUUA